AAAAAAAACUAACAAAUUAUUCCCAAAAUUCCCCCCAAAAUUUGCCACCCACCCUUUUUCUUUUCCUUCUCUUGCUUGCAGUCGCUCAUCUGUCUCUCAGUCGUGCUCAACGGCGUAGGGCAAGGGAGGUGGCGACGUCCAGCAGCGGCAGCAUCUCUCUCAGUCACUCAUCUCUCUCUCUCUCUCUCUCUCUCAGCAACAUCUCUCUUUCUCUCUCACAAUCUACAUCCGAUUAUGGACUGAUCUCCUCUGUUCUCGAUUCACCUCGCCUUCUAACGAUCAAUAUUUCUCUCUGCUCUCAUCCCUAUUGCGUCUCUCUUGUGUGAGCCAAGUCGAGAAGGAGAUGGACCCUCAAUCGACUGAGAAUGUGUAGUGGUCCUGCCGAGGGUUGGUGUAGUCGAUUCGAGAAUGAUGCUAGAGGAAAAUUGAUGGCUGGAGGAAAAUCGAGGGCUACGCCAACCGCCAUCACCACCACCACUAUAUCCACCACCAUUACAUGAUGUUCUGAUAAAGAGGAGCCUGAUGCUGAAACAGUUACAUCCAUGUUGGGUUUCCAAAGUUAUUGGGAUGCCACUUAUGCAGAUGAAUUGGCGAAUUUUCGUGAGCAUGGCCAUGCUGGUGAAGUUUGGCUUUUAGACAGCAACCAACUCAGUGGCAACAUCCCUUUAACGCUAGGAUCAAUACUGAAUUUGGAGGCCCUGAACUUAUUAAGUGGGUCUGUACCACCGAACCUCAACAACCUAGUAAAUGUCUGAGAGCUGUAAGCAGACAAAACAAAUAUUUUUUUUUUGAUUUAAGCAUCUAUACUUGUUUCCAGGUAGUCAACUUAAUUUGCAUUCGAUUUUCAGCUAAGUAUUACAGACUUUUGAUUUUCUACUUCAGGUUCUUGUCAAACAAUCAACUGUCUGGCUCCUUGCCCAAUCUUACGGGCAUGGCCACUCUUAACUACAUGUCUAUUAGCAAUAAUUCUUUUAACAAGUCAGAUGUUACCGCAUGGUUUUCAACCUUACAAUCUUUGACAACAUUUUUUUUGCAGAUUCGAGAUUUGAUAUAGACAUGUUUGGUAAUUUGGAGGGCAGAUGGUAGCUCAUUUUGUGUUUUUGUUCAUAUUACCUUACAUGUAUUUUGGUUGCAUUGUAAAUUUUAUAUUUUUGUUGGUAUUACAGGACAUGUUGGGUAAUCCGCCAUUGAUAUUUUAUUUUUGUUGAUAUUAGUAGACAUGUUUUUUGUUGGAUAUUAGGAGAUGUGUUUGGUAAUCUGCAUGCGGUUGAUAUUAUACUUGUGUGGAUAUUAGUAGACGUUUUUUGUGGAUAUUAGGAGACAUGUUUAUAAUCCACAUGCAGUUCAUAUUGUAUUUUUGUGGAUAGUGCCGAAA
Camellia sinensis is the source of this 1375-nucleotide non-coding RNA. Lineage: Eukaryota; Viridiplantae; Streptophyta; Magnoliopsida; Ericales; Theaceae. The record is from RefSeq and is a predicted model, not a curated record.